RNAcentral lists this non-coding RNA (31 nucleotides) under Rattus norvegicus (Norway rat). Lineage: Eukaryota; Metazoa; Chordata; Mammalia; Rodentia; Muridae. The record is from RNAcentral.
UACUUGCCGAGUAACUGUCCAACUUCCAGAC